Molecule: ribosomal RNA, 253 nt
Filed under: uncultured bacterium
Lineage: Bacteria
Description: partial 16S ribosomal RNA
Rfam family: Bacterial small subunit ribosomal RNA
Source: RNAcentral
GACGAACCGUGCAAACGUUGUUCGGAAUCACUGGGCUUAAAGGGCGCGUAGGCGGACCGGAUAGUCUGUGGUGAAAGCCCCCAGCUUAACUGGGGAAGUGCCAUGGAUACUGCCGGUCUGGAGGAGGGUAGGGGCAUCUGGAACGCUGGGUGGAGCGGUGAAAUGCGUUGAUAUCCAGCGGAACUCCGGUGGCGAAGGCGAGGUGCUGGACCGUUUCUGACGCUGAUGCGCGAAAGCCAGGGGAGCAAACGGG